This 2909-nucleotide ribosomal RNA is filed under the name Candidatus Woesearchaeota archaeon. RNAcentral describes it as "23S ribosomal RNA". It matches the Rfam family "Archaeal large subunit ribosomal RNA". Lineage: Archaea; Nanobdellati; Candidatus Woesearchaeota. The record is from RNAcentral.
AGAUAUAUCCCACUACGCCAUUAGAUGGAUGACUUGGUUCAAGACAGAGAUGAAGGGCGUGGCAAGCUACGAAAUGCCUUGGGUAGGUGCAUGCAGCCUUUGAUCCAAGGAUCCCUGAAUGGGACUUCCCAUUUAGUCCGAAAGGGCGUCAAACGCGGGGAAUUGAAGCGUCUUAGUACCCGCAGGAAAAGAAAUCAAAUCGAGAUGCUGUUAGUAAGAGCGACCGAACACAGCAAAAGGCAAACCGAAUCCUUGUAGAAAUACAAAGGAGAUGUGGGGUUAUAGGACCUACUUUCGACCUUCGUCAGAUGAUUCGAGGUUUUCUGGAAAGAAAUACCACAGAGGGUGAUAGUCCCGUAGAAGAAAUCUGGAAAGGUUUGUAGGUAUCCUGAGUACCGUAUCUUGGAUAUGAUGCGGGAAUUUGGGAGGCAUCAACUUCCAACCUUAAAUAUGUUUUGAGUCCGAUAGAGUAUAGUACCGUGAGGGAACGUUGCAAAGAACCCGUAAUAGGGUGUGAAAAGAGCCUGAAAUCUAAUGGUUAUUGUCAGAUACGGCCCUUUGGGGUUGUAUCGUACGUUUCGAAUAACGGGCCAGGGAGUGUGCUUUUGUGGCGAGGGUAAGGAUGUUUCCAUCUGUACUCGAAGGGAAACCAAAUUGCCUGCAGUUUACGAGAGGCGAGGUAUGAAAAUGCCUGAAGUCACAGGGGUACGACCAGAAACCGGACGAUCUAAUCCUGAGCAGGGUGAAGCGAGAGUUACUCCUCGUGGAGGCCCGAAGCGGUGCUGCGUGCAUGCGUUCGUGUGAUUUGGGAUUAGGGGUGAAAAGCCAAUCGAGUUCGGUGAUAGCUGGUUCCUGCCGAAAUAGGCCGCAGUCUAGUCUCAACUGAGAUUGCAAAGGUGGUAGAGCCACGGAUUAGGAGGUUAGGGGGAGAAAUCCCUCGCUUUCUUGUUCAACUCCGAAUGUCUUUGCGUCGUAGACGUUGGGAAACAGGUUUACGCGGUAAGCGUGUACUCCUAGAGGGGAACAUCCCAGACUGAAGUUAAGGUCCCAAAAUAUUGGUUAAGUGUUAACGGGUGAAAGGUGUGUACAAGCAUAGACAGCUGGGAGGUUUGCUUAGAAGCAGCAAUCCUUUAAAGAAAGCGUAAUAGCUCACCAGUCUAGGUUGUAUGCCCUGAAAAUGGACGGGGCUAAACCGAUUACCGAUACUUCAGACGAGCUAAGAGCUUGGUGGUAGGCAGGCGUACUGUGUGGGUAGAAGCUUUUUCGUAAGAAGGAGUGGACCACAUUGUAAUGAGAAUCCUGGCGGUAGUAGGAUCUAAAUAGGGUGAGACUCCCUAAUACCUAAAGACUAAGGGUUUCUUAGCAAUGUAGAUCAGCUAAGAGUAAGUCGGUCCUAACCGUGCUCCUAACUGGACGCUCGGGAAAGGGAAACAGGUUAAGAUUCCUGUACUUUUGGGGUACGUGUGGUAACACAAGCUUGUCUUCUGACGCUUUGGGCUAGGCUGUCAGUCGUCGUCGCGACUGCUAAGCAUUAUAGUUCCAGGGAGUGUCGUUAUGACGAGAACUGGAAUAAGGUGUGAUGGGCGGGCUUUAUGUUCGUAUGGCUUUUGCCUAGAGCCCGUGAAAAGGAAGCAAGAAGGAUCCCCAGAACCCGUACCCAGAACCAGCACUGGUAGUCUAGGUGAGAAGCCUACGGUAUGAGGGUUUAAUCCAAUCCAGGGAAAUCGGCAAAUUAGCCCCGUGCCUUCGGCAUAAGGGGUCCCUGCGAUCGUGGCCUUAUGGUUGGCGAUUACAGGGCGCAGUGACUAAGGUGGUCCGACUGUUUAAUAAAAACGUAACUAUCUGCUAGCCGGUAACGGUGUGUAUAGGUAGUGACGUCUGCCCAGUGCCAGUACUUUAAACUCCAUUUCAAUGGUGCUAAGAGCUGGUAAACGGCGGGAAUAACUAUAAUUCUCUUAAGGUAGCGUAAUACCUUGUCGUUUGAUUGACGACUUGCAUGAAUGGCGUAACGAGAUCGCCACUGUCCCGGGUUGGAGUCCCCCGAACACGCUUUCCUGGUGCAAAGGCCAGGGAUCUCCAGUGGGAAGCGAAGACCCCGUAGAACUUUACUGCAACUUGUAGCUGUGGUGUGGGGCCAGAUGUGCAGGAUAGGUGGAAGUUGCUUGAGGCCUUGACGCAAGUUAAGGUUUAGACAACCUUGAGAUACCACCCUUCUGACUUUACAUCACUUACCUGAGAAAUCGGGAACACCUGCAGGCGGGCAGUUUGGCUGGGGCGGCACCCCGCUGAAAUGGUAUCAGUGGGGCCCAAAGGUAAGCUCAUCCGGUUUAGAAAUCCGGAGUUGAGUGCAAGAGCAAAAGCUUGCCUGACUGUGUUCUAAAUACUACAGAACGCAGAGACGAAAGUCCGGUCUAGCGAACUUCUAUGUCCUCAUUGAUGGGGGCUAGACAUGACAGAAAAGCUAUCUCGGGGAUAAUUGAGUCGUAGCGCCUAAGAGCUCAAAUCGACGGCGCUGCUUGCUACUUCGAUGUCGGCUCUUCCUAUCCUGGGCGUGCAGAAGCGCCCAAGGGUGAAGGUGUUCACUUAUUAAAAGGGAUCGUGAGCUGGGUUAAGUACGUUGUGAGACAGUAUGUAUGAUAUCUACUGGAGAUGUGGAAGUGUCUGAGAGGAAGGAUCCUUUAGUACGAGAGGAACAAGGAUUCGACGCCUCUGGUGUAUCGGUUGUCUGACAAGGCAGGCCGAGCAGCUACGCGUUAAGGGAUAAGUCCUGAAAGCAUCUAAGGACGAAACCUCCCUCGAAAAGAGACACAGAGUACGGACAGAAUAUCUGUUUGAUGGGACUGGGGUGUACGCACCGAGGUAACGAGGUGUUCAGCCUGCAGUUUCCAACAACUCGUUAUGAUAUAUCU